Molecule: ribosomal RNA, 322 nt
Filed under: uncultured eukaryote
Lineage: Eukaryota
Description: partial 18S ribosomal RNA
Rfam family: Eukaryotic small subunit ribosomal RNA
Source: RNAcentral
CCCUUAGAUGUUCUGGGCCGCACGCGUGCUACACUGAGUGGAUCAGCGGGUCAGGUUGCGCGAAAGCGUUUCCUAAUCUUGAAAUCCGCUCGUGAUGGGGAUUGACGGUUGCAAUUUUCUGUCAUGAACGAGGAAUACCUUGUAAGCGCGAGUCAUCAUCCCGCGCUGAAUACGUCCCUGCCCUUUGUACACACCGCCCGUCGCUCCUACCGAUUGAGUGGUCCGGUGAGGCUUUGGGAUCUGAGCGGAAAGAGCGUUUCGCUCGUUCUGCCCGGAAAACUCAGUCGAACCUUAUCAUUGAGAGGAAGGAGAAGUCGUAACA